This 77-nucleotide transfer RNA is filed under the name Massilia arenae. RNAcentral's name for it is "Massilia sp. GEM5 tRNA-Arg". It matches the Rfam family "tRNA". From Rfam's summary of the family: Transfer RNA (tRNA) molecules are approximately 80 nucleotides in length. Their secondary structure includes four short double-helical elements and three loops (D, anti-codon, and T loops). The record is from RNAcentral. RNAcentral also lists the same sequence under 1 other name. Lineage: Bacteria; Pseudomonadati; Pseudomonadota; Betaproteobacteria; Burkholderiales; Oxalobacteraceae.
CCGCCCUUAGCUCAGUCGGAUAGAGCAACGGCCUUCUAAGCCGUGGGUCGGGGGUUCGAUUCCCUCAGGGCGGGCCA